UAAGGGCGCACGGUGGAUGCCUUGGCACUAGAAGCCGAUGAAGGACGUUACUAACGACGAUAUGCUUUGGGGAGCUGUAAGUAAGCUUUGAUCCAGAGAUUUCCGAAUGGGGAAACCCAGCAUGAGUUAUGUCAUGUUAUCGAUAUGUGAAUACAUAGCAUAUCAGAAGGCACACCCGGAGAACUGAAACAUCUUAGUACCCGGAGGAAGAGAAAGAAAAUUCGAUUCCCUUAGUAGCGGCGAGCGAAACGGGAAGAGCCCAAACCAACAAGCUUGCUUGUUGGGGUUGUAGGACACUCUAUACGGAGUUACAAAGGACGACAUUAGACGAAUCAUCUGGAAAGAUGAAUCAAAGAAGGUAAUAAUCCUGUAGUCGAAAAUGUUGUCUCUCUUGAGUGGAUCCUGAGUACGACGGAGCACGUGAAAUUCC
This 430-nucleotide ribosomal RNA is filed under the name Staphylococcus aureus. Its description in RNAcentral is "partial 23S ribosomal RNA". It matches the Rfam family "Bacterial large subunit ribosomal RNA", at positions 12 to 435 of the family's 2925-position model. Lineage: Bacteria; Bacillati; Bacillota; Bacilli; Caryophanales; Staphylococcaceae. The record is from RNAcentral.